This 454-nucleotide ribosomal RNA is filed under the name uncultured bacterium. RNAcentral's name for it is "partial 16S ribosomal RNA". It matches the Rfam family "Bacterial small subunit ribosomal RNA", at positions 28 to 507 of the family's 1533-position model. The record is from RNAcentral.
GAUGAACGCUGACAGAAUGCUUAACACAUGCAAGUCAACUUGAACUUCGGUUUGGGUGGCGGACGGGUGAGUAACGCGUAAAGAACUUGCCUCACAGCUAGGGACAACAUUUGGAAACGAAUGCUAAUACCUGAUAUUAUGAUUAUAUGGCAUCGUAUAAUUAUGAAAGCUAUAUGCGCUGUGAGAGAGCUUUGCGUCCCAUUAGCUAGUUGGAGAGGUAACAGCUCACCAAGGCGAUGAUGGGUAGCCGGCCUGAGAGGGUGAUCGGCCACAAGGGGACUGAGACACGGCCCUUACUCCUACGGGAGGCAGCAGUGGGGAAUAGUGGACAGUGGACCGAGAGUCUGAUCCAGCAAUUCUGUGUGCACGAUGAAGUUUUUCGGAAUGUAAAGUGCUUUCAGUUGGGAAGAAAAAAAUGACGGUACCAACAGAAGAAGUGACGGCUAAAUACGUG